AUUGAACGCUGGCGGGAUGCCUUACACAUGCAAGUCGAACGGUAACAGGUUAAGCUGACGAGUGGCGAACGGGUGAGUAAUAUAUCGGAACGUGCCCAGUCGUGGGGGAUAACGUAGCGAAAGCUACGCUAAUACCGCAUACGAUCUACGGAUGAAAGCGGGGGAUCGCAAGACCUCGCGCGAUUGGAGCGGCCGAUACCAGAUUAGGUUGUUGGUGAGGUAAAAGCUCACCAAGCCUGCGAUCUGUAGCUGGUCUGAGAGGACGACCAGCCACACUGGAACUGAGACACGGUCCAGACUCCUACGGGAGGCAGCAGUGGGGAAUUUUGGACAAUGGACGCAAGUCUGAUCCAGCAAUGCCGCGUGCAGGACGAAGGCCUUCGGGUUGUAAACUGCUUUUGUACGGAACGAAACGGUGAGCUCUAAUACAGUUUGCUAAUGACGGUACCGUAAGAAUAAGCACCGGCUAACUACGUGCCAGCCGCCGCCGUAA
Molecule: ribosomal RNA, 493 nt
Filed under: uncultured bacterium
Lineage: Bacteria
Description: partial 16S ribosomal RNA
Rfam family: Bacterial small subunit ribosomal RNA
Source: RNAcentral